This 466-nucleotide long non-coding RNA is filed under the name Mytilus galloprovincialis (Mediterranean mussel). Lineage: Eukaryota; Metazoa; Mollusca; Bivalvia; Mytilida; Mytilidae. The record is from RNAcentral.
CCCCCGAGACCUUGUAGUUCUUUCUUGUGUGAAAACGUCUAUUUCCCAGAUAAUCGUCUUAAAAUGUCACAUCAACAGUAUCAUGUUUCAAAUAUGACUUUUACCUGUUUUGGACAAUUUUUGUAAUUUUUACUUUUUUUCUACAAAUAAGUAGAUAUAUUUUUUACGUGAAUUCAGGACUUGUUAAUUUAAGUUUGAAAUAACAUUAACUUAGUAAUUAUGAACGAAAUCAGAGCAACUGGUUCAGGUUUUGAACUUAACUCUGAACGUAUUACACAGAGUGCAUUUGAUUUCACGAUGAAACAUCACCAACAGCUUCCGGAUGAUGGCAAUGUUGAAUCCGAUGAUGAUUCUUAUUUUAUAACAGACUCCAAACGGAACGGUGGAGAUAGGAAUACAGAGUCAAAGAAUGAAGGAGACCAUCUAGAUAUACUAUCUGAUAGUGAGAAAGACGCAGCCGACAGGG